Molecule: ribosomal RNA, 253 nt
Filed under: uncultured bacterium
Lineage: Bacteria
Description: partial 16S ribosomal RNA
Rfam family: Bacterial small subunit ribosomal RNA
Source: RNAcentral
UACGUAGGGUGCAAGCGUUGUCCGGAAUUAUUGGGCGUAAAGAGCUCGUAGGCGGUCUGUCGCGUCUGCUGUGAAAACUCGGGGCUUAACCCCGGGCCUGCAGUGGGUACGGGCAGACUAGAGUGCGGUAGGGGAGACUGGAAUUCCUGGUGUAGCGGUGAAAUGCGCAGAUAUCAGGAGGAACACCGGUGGCGAAGGCGGGUCUCUGGGCCGUAACUGACGCUGAGGAGCGAAAGCGUGGGGAUCAAACAGG